UAAACGAUUGGUUGAUUGAUUAAUGGACUGGUUGAGUAAAAGAUGAUCGCAUUUAAAAACCGUAUAAAGUUUAUAAAUUAAGAUAAUAAAAUUAGGAGAAAAAUAAGAAAAGAAGUGGAAAGCAGAAAGUGUGAAGUGAAAGAGCUGUGAGAUUGUGACCAGGUUACUGAAGGAGAACGAGAGAGCACAAAAUGAAGAUGCGCAUCAGUUUAAUUAAACAUUGCUAGAACAUAGGGCAAGGUCUAGAAAGUGCAUGAUAAUGACAUAAGGUGUUGCCAUGUUGUUUCUGUCUUGUUUCUCGAUGCUCAUGGGCAGUGGCGGACAUCCCGCAAUAUAACACAGACGAAGCCUACCUGUCGUCAUACCGUGCGUACCAGGGCCCCCAGGAUGGCGCCAACGGCUUUCCUCUCAGCUCUCUGUCUGCGAGCAGAGACAGUGACAGUCCUUUCAUACAAGAGCGCCCCAGCAGUUAUGGCGCCUUGGCCUGCAUCUCAACCUUUCUGUGCUUCUGUCCUGUGGGUCUGGCUGCUCUCUUCUACUCCUGCAGGGCGAGAUUUGCAAAAGACGAAGGGAAUUUCGCAGAAGCGCGCACACUGGGGAGGAAUGCACGAGACAUCGCCGUCGCCAGCCUCAUUCUUGGCAUCUUCCUCAUCCUUGUCGCCGUUCUCAUCGUCGUCCUCCUCUGGCAGACAGUCGGCUUCAAGUAGGCGAGCAGUGGACAGGUCACGUGUGACAGAGACAAAGUCGUGACCACUGUCGGAAGGCUUGAAGAUAGUUUUAAUGCAAGGGUCAAUCCCGACAUUCCCAACUUUAGAAUACGGUUGUAGCUGUAGUUGAUAUACCCUUGAAUCGAUAACGACUUUAUAUAAGACGCUGAGGAUUAUACGUGCAUCAUGUUGGACUGGAAAAAAACCACAUUCACGCACUUUAGUUCUGUGAUGGUCUGGGCAUAAUCUUGACAUAUGAGUUAAAUUGAGAAAGUCAGGAGAAGGGAAGAGAGAUGCACAAGACAUUAGAUUACAGCAGCAGAGGGACUGGAUGUCUUGUCCGUGGCUUGGACAAUGUUUGAGACAGGAUAAUCGAGUACGACGGAGGGAGGGGUGAGCACUCGAUGGAGACAAGUGAAUCGGCAGUCUAGACUCUGGAGCGACUACAUACGGGUGGCCAUACUCCUAGGGUGGGCCUCUCAAGCUGCGCGAGACGCAAAGAGUAGUUGAACGGUGUGCACAUUUCUGGGCCAUUUACUUCUUAUAUUCAUACAAUAGUUUAUAAUAUAUUAAUAUAAAAUUAUGUGUUGCCGUCUGCUGCACGGCUGGAUCUAGUGCUGUCAUCAGAAGUAAACUUUUUUACGGACAGCGCAUGGGGCCCGGAUAAGGCCGAUCUUCAUGGUGUGAGGAACACUGGUUAGAAUGUUUGCCUACAUUUGAAUUUCUGACUUCAUGCAAAAUGCAUGAGUGAGAAAGAAUGAGAGAGAGGGAGGACAGUGCAUAAGUACUAAAUUUAAAAUCAUUUGUUGCCUUUUACUGUUUUUAGAUAAGGGAUUUAAACCUUUUA
RNAcentral lists this long non-coding RNA (1554 nucleotides) under Pomacea canaliculata. RNAcentral's name for it is "uncharacterized LOC112559964". Lineage: Eukaryota; Metazoa; Mollusca; Gastropoda; Architaenioglossa; Ampullariidae. The record is from RNAcentral.